GAGGCGUUAGCUCAGCUGGUAGAGCAGGGGACUUGUAAUCCUCCGGCCGUGGGUUCAAGUCCCGCACGCCUCU
RNAcentral lists this transfer RNA (73 nucleotides) under Streptomyces caatingaensis. It matches the Rfam family "tRNA". Rfam says of the family: Transfer RNA (tRNA) molecules are approximately 80 nucleotides in length. Their secondary structure includes four short double-helical elements and three loops (D, anti-codon, and T loops). Lineage: Bacteria; Bacillati; Actinomycetota; Actinomycetes; Kitasatosporales; Streptomycetaceae. The record is from Rfam by way of RNAcentral.